UGGGGAAUAUUGCACAAUGGGCGCAAGCCUGAUGCAGCCAUGCCGCGUGUGUGAAGAAGGCCUUCGGGUUGUAAAGCACUUUCAGCGAGGAGGAAGGUGGUGAACUUAAUACGUUCAUCAAUUGACGUUACUCGCAGAAGAAGCACCGGCUAACUCCGUGCCAGCAGCCGCGGUAAUACGGGAGGGUGCAAGCGUUAAUCGGAAUUACUGGGCGUAAAGCGCACGCAGGCGGUUUGUUAAGUCAGAUGUGAAAUCCCCGGGCUCAACCUGGGAACUGCAUUUGAAACUGGCAAGCUAGAGUCUCGUAGAGGGGGGUAGAAUUCCAGGUGUAGCGGUGAAAUGCGUAGAGAUCUGGAGGAAUACCGGUGGCGAAGGCGGCCCCCUGGACGAAGACUGACGCUCAGGUGCGAAAGCGUGGGGAGCAAACAGGAUUAGAUACCCUGGUAGUCCACGCUGUAAACGAUGUCGAUUUUGGAGGUUGUGCCCUUGAGGCGUGGCUUCCGGAGCUAACGCGUUAAA
RNAcentral lists this ribosomal RNA (519 nucleotides) under uncultured bacterium. Its description in RNAcentral is "partial 16S ribosomal RNA". It matches the Rfam family "Bacterial small subunit ribosomal RNA", at positions 355 to 864 of the family's 1533-position model. The record is from RNAcentral.